CGGGAGCCGCGCCUCAGCUCCCGCCCCGCCGCCAUCUUGUUGGGGCGGGGCAGGGCGGGCACGCCGGGCAGUGUAGUCUUGGUUCUGGUCCUGGUCCUGGUCCUGGCCCUGGCUUUAACGCGGGAUAAAAGUGAAAAAAACAAAACAAAACUGAAAGCUGUGAAGUGUUUCAGCCUCAGCUCCCAGUCCGUAAAGCGAGCUGCUGUGACAGUUAUCGGGGCUGAAGUGCAGGAUAACGUUUUGCACCCAAUUAGCGUGCGUCCUGCGUCAAACUUUACAGACCCACACUGCAGUGCCCUUUCUGAAAUACCUGACGUGAUUUUUAUUUUUUUUUUUUUGGUCAUUUCUGUCAGUGCAAUGAAGAGCGAAACCAGACCCAGAGCUUAAGCCACAUGUAGUGCCUUAAACCACCUCACCACAAGGGCAAGGGUGGCACCGAGAGGUCUCUGGCUGCAGGCCACCCGCACGGUGUCUGCUCCUCGCUGAGAGGAAAACUACCUGGCACAGCCAUGCUAGGAUGAUGUUGUGCCGGCCCAGAGCUCGCCUGCUGCCGUGCAGCUCCAAGGAGCAAGAGCGCACGUGGAGGGGACCAGCCUCCGUCCUUCAAGAGCCUGCAGGCAUUUGGGCAAAGUCUGCUCUGCAGCAUGCACAAGAAGUCAGCCAUGGUGACAGAAUAAAUUCCAUGAAACCGCAAGACAAAAUCAAGAGAUGGAAAACUGAAUGGAAGAAUUUCAUCGAAACCCCACUUGAUCGCCGUCUCCUGCAUUGCCUGCCUUAA
Molecule: long non-coding RNA, 778 nt
Filed under: Anas platyrhynchos platyrhynchos (common mallard)
Lineage: Eukaryota; Metazoa; Chordata; Aves; Anseriformes; Anatidae
Description: lncRNA (ENSAPLG00000027224.1)
Source: RNAcentral